UAAGAAACGGAGAACAAGGCA
Molecule: non-coding RNA, 21 nt
Filed under: Caenorhabditis elegans
Lineage: Eukaryota; Metazoa; Nematoda; Chromadorea; Rhabditida; Rhabditidae
Source: RNAcentral